RNAcentral lists this ribosomal RNA (435 nucleotides) under uncultured bacterium. RNAcentral's name for it is "partial 16S ribosomal RNA". It matches the Rfam family "Bacterial small subunit ribosomal RNA", at positions 28 to 507 of the family's 1533-position model. The record is from RNAcentral.
GAUGAACGCUGGCGGUAUGCUUAACACAUGCAAGUCGAACGGACUCUUCGGAGUUAGUGGCGGACGGGUGGGUAACGCGUGAGAAUCUGGCUUUGGGUUCGGGACAACCACUGGAAACGGUGGCUAAUACCGGAUGUGCCGAGAGGUAAAAGAGAAAUUGCCUGAAGAUGAGCUCGCGUCUGAUUAGCUAGUUGGUGAGGUAAAGGCUCACCAAGGCAGCGAUCAGUAGCUGGUCUGAGAGGAUGACCAGCCACACUGGGACUGAGACACGGCCCAGACUCCUACGGGAGGCAGCAGUGGGGAAUUUUCCGCAAUGGGCGAAAGCCUGACGGAGCAAUACCGCGUGAGGGAAGAAGGCUCUUGGGUUGUAAACCUCUUUUCUUAGGGAAGAACAAAAUGACGGUACCUAAGGAAUCAGCAUCGGCUAACUCCGUG